Molecule: non-coding RNA, 29 nt
Filed under: Rattus norvegicus (Norway rat)
Lineage: Eukaryota; Metazoa; Chordata; Mammalia; Rodentia; Muridae
Source: RNAcentral
UAAAAUUGGCUAUGGUAGUGGUGGUGGGU